RNAcentral lists this ribosomal RNA (449 nucleotides) under uncultured organism. Its description in RNAcentral is "partial 16S ribosomal RNA". It matches the Rfam family "Bacterial small subunit ribosomal RNA", at positions 331 to 797 of the family's 1533-position model. The record is from RNAcentral.
GUACACUCCUGCGGGAGGCAGCAGUGGGGAAUAUUGGACAAUGGGCGCAAGCCUGAUCCAGCCAUGCCGCGUGAGUGAUGAAGGCCCUAGGGUUGUAAAGCUCUUUCACCGGUGAAGAUAAUGACGGUAACCGGAGAAGAAGCCCCGGCUAACUUCGUGCCAGCAGCCGCGGUAAUACGAAGGGGGCUAGCGUUGUUCGGAUUUACUGGGCGUAAAGCGCACGUAGGCGGACUAUUAAGUCAGGGGUGAAAUCCCGGGGCUCAACCCCGGAACUGCCUUUGAUACUGGUAGUCUUGAGUUCGAGAGAGGUGAGUGGAAUUCCGAGUGUAGAGGUGAAAUUCGUAGAUAUUCGGAGGAACACCAGUGGCGAAGGCGGCUCGCUGGCUCGAUACUGACGCUGAGGUGCGAAAGCGUGGGGAGCAAACAGGAUUAGAAACCCGAGUAGUCCC